AGAGUUUGAUCCUGGCUCAGAUUGAACGCUGGCGGCAUGCCUUACACAUGCAAGUCGAACGGCAGCACGGGUACUUGUACCUGGUGGCGAGUGGCGAACGGGUGAGUAAUACAUCGGAACGUACCUUAUCGUGGGGGAUAACGCAGCGAAAGCUGUGCUAAUACCGCAUACGCCCUGAGGGGGAAAGCGGGGGAUCGAAAGACCUCGCGCGAUUAGAGCGGCCGAUGCCUGAUUAGCUUGUUGGUGGGGUAAAAGCCCACCAAGGCGACGAUCAGUAGCUGGUCUGAGAGGACGAUCAGCCACACUGGGACUGAGACACGGCCCAGACUCCUACGGGAGGCAGCAGUGGGGAAUUUUGGACAAUGGGGGAAACCCUGAUCCAGCAAUGCCGCGUGAGUGAAGAAGGCCUUCGGGUUGUAAAGCUCUUUUGUCAGGGAAGAAACACCGGCUCUAACACAGUCCGGGAAUGACGGUACCUGAAGAAUAAGCACCGGCUAACUACGUGCCAGCAGCCGCGGUAAUACGUAGGGUGCAAGCGUUAAUCGGAAUUACUGGGCGUAAAGCGUGCGCAGGCGGUUAUACAAGACAGGCGUGAAAUCCCCGGGCUUAACCUGGGAAUGGCGCCUGUGACUGUAUAGCUAGAGUGUGUCAGAGGGGGGUAGAAUUCCACGUGUAGCAGUGAAAUGCGUAGAUAUGUGGAGGAAUACCAAUGGCGAAGGCAGCCCCCUGGGAUAACACUGACGCUCAUGCACGAAAGCGUGGGGAGCAAACAGGAUUAGAUACCCUGGUAGUCCACGCCCUAAACGAUGCUGACUAGUUGUUCGGGAUUUACAUCCUGAGUAACGUAGCUAACGCGUGAAGUCAGCCGCCUGGGGAGUACGGUCGCAAGAUUAAAACUCAAAGGAAUUGACGGGGA
This 916-nucleotide ribosomal RNA is filed under the name uncultured bacterium. Its description in RNAcentral is "bacterial SSU rRNA". It matches the Rfam family "Bacterial small subunit ribosomal RNA", at positions 8 to 919 of the family's 1533-position model. The record is from RNAcentral.